This 107-nucleotide small nuclear RNA is filed under the name Cercocebus atys (sooty mangabey). The record is from RNAcentral. Lineage: Eukaryota; Metazoa; Chordata; Mammalia; Primates; Cercopithecidae.
GCGCUCGCUUUGGCAGCAUAUACACUAAAUUUGGAAUGAUACAGAGAACAUUAGCAUGGCCCUUGUGCAAGGAUGACACACAAAUUCAUAAAGCAUGCCAUAUUUUU